Molecule: ribosomal RNA, 253 nt
Filed under: uncultured prokaryote
Description: partial 16S ribosomal RNA
Rfam family: Bacterial small subunit ribosomal RNA
Source: RNAcentral
UACGUAGGGUGCGAGCGUUAAUCGGAAUUACUGGGCGUAAAGCGUGCGUAGGCGGUUCCUCAAGUCCGUUGUGAAAUCUCCUGGCUCAACUGGGAGCUUGCAGGCGAAACUGCCGUGCUGGAGUGUGGGAGAGGUGAGUGGAAUUCCCGGUGUAGCGGUGAAAUGCGUAGAUAUCGGGAGGAAUACCUGUGGCGAAAGCGGCUCACUGGACCACAACUGACGCUGAGGCGCGAAAGCUAGGGGAGCAAACAGG